Molecule: ribosomal RNA, 550 nt
Filed under: uncultured bacterium
Lineage: Bacteria
Description: bacterial SSU rRNA
Rfam family: Bacterial small subunit ribosomal RNA
Source: RNAcentral
UAGGGAAUCUUCGGCAAUGGGGGCAACCCUGACCGAGCAACGCCGCGUGAGUGAAGAAGGUUUUCGGAUCGUAAAGCUCUGUUGUAAGUCAAGAACGAGUGUGAGAGUGGAAAGUUCACACUGUGACGGUAGCUUACCAGAAAGGGACGGCUAACUACGUGCCAGCAGCCGCGGUAAUACGUAGGUCCCGAGCGUUGUCCGGAUUUAUUGGGCGUAAAGUGAGCGCAGGCGGUCUGAUAAGUCUGAAGUUAAAGGCUGUGGCUCAACCAUAGUUCGCUUUGGAAACUGUCAAACUUGAGUGCAGAAGGGGAGAGUGGAAUUCCAUGUGUAGCGGUGAAAUGCGUAGAUAUAUGGAGGAACACCGGUGGCGAAAGCGGCUCUCUGGUCUGUAACUGACGCUGAGGCUCGAAAGCGUGGGGAGCGAACAGGAUUAGAUACCCUGGUAGUCCACGCCGUAAACGAUGAGUGCUAGGUGUUGGAUCCUUUCCGGGAUUCAGUGCCGCAGCUAACGCAUUAAGCACUCCGCCUGGGGAGUACGACCGCAAGGUUG